This 60-nucleotide ribosomal RNA is filed under the name Caulobacter sp. HMWF025. RNAcentral's name for it is "partial 16S ribosomal RNA". The record is from RNAcentral. Lineage: Bacteria; Pseudomonadati; Pseudomonadota; Alphaproteobacteria; Caulobacterales; Caulobacteraceae.
UCAACCUGAGAGUUUGAUCCUGGCUCAGAGCGAACGCUGGCGGCAGGCCUAACACAUGCA